This 328-nucleotide ribosomal RNA is filed under the name uncultured eukaryote. RNAcentral's name for it is "partial 18S ribosomal RNA". It matches the Rfam family "Eukaryotic small subunit ribosomal RNA", at positions 1470 to 1796 of the family's 1831-position model. The record is from RNAcentral.
CCCUUAGAUGUCCGGGGCUGCACGCGCGCUACACUGAAGGAAUCAGCGUGCUAAAACCAUUGUCGAAAGGCAUUGGUAAACCCAUUAAAAUCCUACGUGAUUGGGAUCGGGAAUUGCAAUUAUUUCCCUUGAACGAGGAAUUCCCAGUAAGUGUGGGCCAUAAGCUCGCGUUGAUUACGUCCCUGCCCUUUGUACACACCGCCCGUCGCUGCCCGGGACUGAGCCGUUUCGAGAAAAGCGGGGACUGCUGCUGUCGGGGCUUUCGGGCCUUGGCUUCGGUGGAAACCGCUUUAAUCGCAGUGGCUUGAACCGGGCAAAAGUCGUAACA